RNAcentral lists this ribosomal RNA (460 nucleotides) under uncultured bacterium. Its description in RNAcentral is "partial 16S ribosomal RNA". It matches the Rfam family "Bacterial small subunit ribosomal RNA", at positions 338 to 795 of the family's 1533-position model. The record is from RNAcentral.
CCUACGGGUGACAGCAGUGAGGAAUAUUGGUCAAUGGCCGGAAGGCUGAACCAGCCAUGCCGCGUGAAGGUCAGUGCCCUAUGGGCGUUAAACUUCUUUUGUGCGGGAGCAAUAAUGGUCACGUGUGGCCAGACGAGAGUACCGUACGAAUAAGCAUCGGCUAACUCCGUGCCAGCAGCCGCGGUAAUACGGGGGAUGCAAGCGUUAUCCGGAUUUAUUGGGUUUAAAGGGUGCGUAGGCUGUGAGGUAAGUCAGCGGUGAAAUGCCCCCGCUCAACGGGGUGAAGUGCCAUUGAUACUGCCUGGCUGGAAGGCGGAUGCCGUGGGAGGAAUGUGUGGUGUAGCGGUGAAAUGCAUAGAUAUCACACAGAACACCGAUUGCGGAGGCAUCUCACGAAUCCGCGAUUGACGCUGAUGCACGAAAGCGUGGGUAUCAAACAGGAUUAGAUACCCCUGUAGUC